AUUUUAGAGAUUUUAUGAUCAGAAAAGAAGCUUCUAACUUCCUUUUAAGCGGUUAAAUUCCGUUAAUA
RNAcentral lists this transfer RNA (68 nucleotides) under Shinkaia crosnieri. RNAcentral describes it as "tRNA-Ser". Lineage: Eukaryota; Metazoa; Arthropoda; Malacostraca; Decapoda; Munidopsidae. The record is from RNAcentral.